GUCUAAUAUGGAUCUUUGCAACCGUUAUGGAGUACAUGGGCAAUGCUGCUUGGUAGUAGUAGGUGUAGAUGAAAUAAGCACUGAGGAAAUGAUAAUUAGCUUCUUCGAACAAAAUGGCAAGAUUUCAAAGUGCAUUAGAAUUCCUGAUGAGCCUGGUCAACCCAAUGGUAGGGCACUGAUAGUUUAUGCUUCAGAAACCUCAAUAACUAAGAUCAACCCAGAUACCCUUGGUCAUAUACCCAGUCCCAAUGAUCCAGCCAUUUUAUGGCAUGUGAGAACAAUUAGAGACAUAUGCCAAGAAGAUUUAGGCAAAGAGCUAGCCCACCAGUACCUUGAAGAAUUGAGUGCCAUAGGUGGUAGUGCCACCUCGGGAUAUGCCAGCAUCCUGGAAAGAGAGCUGAGGCGUAUUCAGUCACAAGCUUCAGAGAAGACGCUCAGUGGUCCCUCCCCAAGAUGUAGCCCAAUGCCACACACUGAGAACGGCAUGAAUGUUGAAGCUGCUCAUAGUAUGGGCUCCCAAUGCAAUAGUCGGCCUCCUUCAGUCCUCCCUUCAAGUAAUCACUCAACUGUACAUAGUCCACUGAGCCUUGGCAGUGAUGUUUUAAACCCUCCCAGUGUCCAGAGAGUCAUUGUAGAGCAUGUCAUCAGGAAUGAUUCAGCACCCUUAUACACAGGUCAGAGCAAAGUCCGAACCUUCUCAGGAAGACUUCCAAAGCCCAAUGGCGAAGUGGAUUAUGAUGCUUGGAAGAGUCAAGUCGAGCUGCUUCUGAGUGAUGCCCAUGUCACUGACUCACAGAAAGUGAGAAAGAUUUUGGAGAGCUUGGUUGGCCCAGCUGCGGAUAUGGUCAAGCCACUUGGGAUCACUUCAGUCCCCCACGCAUAUGUGAAUCAGCUUGAAUCGGCUUUCGGUGUGGUGGAAGAUGGAGAAGAGUUGUUUGCCAAGUUCUUGAAUGCAAGCCAAAAUGCUGGAGAGAAGCCAUCAGACUACCUGUUCAGACUUCAGACUCUUCUCACAAAGGUCGUUUCUAGAGGGGGAAUCCUUCUUGAAGAGUCAGACAGACAGUUACUCAGGCAGUUUUGCAGAGGGUGCUGGGACCACUCCUUACUCAUUGGACUCCAGCUAGAACAGAAAAAGAGCAAUCCACCAUCUUUUCCUGAGCUGCUUCUUUCGCUUAGGACCGAAGAAGACCGCCGUGCAGCCAAGAUGGACAGGAUGAAAAAACACAUGGGAAGCACAAAAGCUAUGGCACACGCUCACACAGUAUAUGGCCUACCCACCUGUUAUAACAGCAUUGACACACCUGUUGAAGAAAAGCAUGAUGAUACAAAGAAAUUGCUUAAUGAGAUAUCAGAGCUGCGCAACCAGGUUGCCACUCUGUCCACCAGAGAUAAUGUGAGGCCACAGCCAAGCCUGAAGCCAGCUGCAUGAUCACAAAUGCCUCCAUGCCUCGUCAUGAUACUCCUCGCUUCCCAAAGCCUUGGUUCUGUUUUAAAUGUGGUGAAGAUGGCCACAUUGCUGCUCGCUGUUCGAGUGCCCCCAACCCUGUUCUGGUCCACCAGAAGAAUGAGGAGCUGAAAAGAAAACGUGAAGCUCAUAGAAGAUUGCACACAGUUUCAUCCAUGCCUUUAAACGAGUCGCAGCUCCUGUUUCGGGACGUUCAGGAGCUCAGUGCCAGAAUAUGAGUCCCAAACCUCUCGAUGCCAUUGUAAGGAGGACACACCGAAAGGAAAAUCACCAUCAGUGUCAGAAUGAUCAGUUCCUCCCCCAUGGACUCGUAGGGCCCCGAUGCACUGCCUCUGUUUUUAUUGAAGGAAUAAUGUGUGACUCCAUCCUCGACACUGGCUCCCAAGUCACCACCAUUUCAGAGACAUUCUACAUGAACAACUUGUCCUUCAUCCCCAUCCAGCCCAUUCAAGCCUUGUUCCAGAUAGAAGGUGCAGGUGGUCAACAUGUCCCCUAUAAAGGCUACAUCCAAGCCCUCAUCUCCUUUCCGGGCAACAUUACUGGCGUCACUGAGCAGAUCUCCUCUUUAGUCCUCAUCGUUCCAGACUGUCACUUCAACACCCAGAUUCCCCUGUUGGUUGGAACCAAUGUCUUAGAUAGAUUAUACAAAGAAGGUAUGGAAAAGCAUGGGCCAGAGUUCUUGCAAGGACCUGACCUUAAUCGUGACUGUGUCCUGCUGUUCCAGCAUGUUGCCUUGAGUCAUCAGGAAGAGAAUUCAGCCUGUAACAUCAAGCUGCAUGGGCGCCAUUCCAUCUCCAUCCCCGCAGGAGGAAAAGUGUCCGUCUUUGGUGACGUCAGAAUGACAAAGAACCCCCCACACUCCCUAUGUGUGAUUGAGUCCCCAGAAUGGUCGUCAUUACCAGGUGGUGUGUUUGUUGAGAGUGCCCUUCAAGAGAUCCCACACAGAUCUUCAAACAAGAUUCCCAUUGUCCUGAGGAAUGUGACUGACCGGGAUGUCAUGCUGCGUCCAAGGCAAGUCAUAGCUCAGUUGAUGGCUGCACAGUAUGUGAUGCCUUCUGAACCACAACAGUUAACACCUGAUGCUUCCCAUUCUGAGAACAGAUUAAAAUUUGACCUUGAAGAUUCCCCUAUUCCAGAGGAGUGGAAGAGACGAGUCACAGAGAAGCUGAACAGCAUGCCAGAGGUCUUUGCUGUCGAUGACCUGUCCCAUGGCCAUACCUCUGCUGUCAAGCAUCACAUCCGCCUUCAAGACGACACUCCCUUCAGAGAAAGACCCAGGCCCAUUCACCCCUCCGACAGAGAAGCUGUAAAGCAACACCUCAGAGAACUGCUAGAUGCUGGGAUCAUCAGAGAGUCAGAGAGUCCAUAUGCAUCACCCAUUGUUGUUGUCAAGAAGAAAAAUGGGAAGAUUCGACUUUGCGUAGAUUACAGGAAAUUGAACAUGCGAACAGUGAAAGAUGCUUAUGCUCUUCCCAACAUCGAAGACACCUUCUCUGCACUCAGCGGUGCAAAAUGGUUUUCUGUGAUGGACCUGAAGUCGGGCUAUUACCAAGUCGAGGUUGCAGAGGAAGACAAGCAAAAGACCGCAUUUGUCUGCCCUCUAGGUUUCUGGGAGUUCAACCGGAUGCCUCAAGGUGUGACAAAUGCACCAAGUACCUUCCAGAGACUUAUGGAGAAAUGUGUCGGAGACUUGCACCUGAACGAAGUUUUAGUCUUUCUGGACGACCUUAUUGUCUUUUCAGAGACAUUAGAAGAGCAUGAGGCCAGACUGAUGAAAGUGUUGAAUCGCCUUAAAGAAUAUGGUCUGAAAUUGUCCCCAGACAAGUGCCACUUUUUUAAGACCUCUGUCAAAUACCUUGGUCACAUUGUUGAUGCUGAAGGAGUCCAUACAGAUCCAAGUAAAGUUGCUGCAUUAAAAGAAUGGCCCCGUCCCACCAACAGAAAAGAGCUCAAAUGCUUCUUAGGAUUUGCUGGAUAUUACCGACGAUUCGUGGAAGGAUACUCUAAAAUAGCAAAGCCACUAAAUAGCCUAACAGCAGGAUAUGUGCCACCGAGGAAGAGAGGAAAGAUUUACAAAAGAGAAAAGACAAAAUCCCUCAUUAAUCCCACCCUGCCUUUUGGAGAUGAAUGGACGCGAGAAUGUGAAGCUGCCUUCAGAACUCUGAUAGAUAAAUUGACCUCAGCACCUAUCCUGGCCUUUGCCAAUCCCAACCUUCCCUAUGUCCUCCAUACUGAUGCCAGCCGUGAUGGUCUUGGGGCUGCUCUCUACCAAGAACAAGAUGGAGAGCUCCGAGUCGUUGCUUAUGCCAGCCGAGGGCUGUCCCGAAGUGAACAGAAUUAUCCUGUCCAUAAGCAAGAGUAUCUAGCUUUAAAGUGGGCCAUCUGUGAGAAAUUCCAUGAUUAUCUUUAUGGCACUGAUUUUCAAGUUCUUACUGACAACAACCCAUUAACGUAUGUCUUGACAUCUGCAAAGCUUGACGCAGCAGGCCAUCGCUGGUUGGCUGCUUUGUCCACAUACCGCUUCACCAUCAAGUAUAGAGCGGGGAUCAGCAACCAAGAUGCUGAUGGGUUGUCCAGGAGACCGCAGAGUCCAUCUGAAGAGGAUGAAGAGUUCAGGGAAGAGAAAGCAAGGAUCGAGGAGAUGAAGCAACGGAUCUUGAACGAAGAUAGCAAGUUGAUCUCUGGUGAAAUGCUCUCUGCAGUAUGCCAGCGCCACUCCAUGAUUGUCCCAGCUGACGGAUGUUUGCUGCCAGAAUCCCCCAUCCUUGCUGAGUCCUUGGCUGUUGAUGCGUCUGCCGUUCCAGAUUACUUUGAGUCUUCAGGGCAAGGCACUAUCCCCGGAAUGACUCAUAGUGACUGGUACCAGGCCCAAAGGGAAGACCCCUCCAUCAGAUGUGUGAUUAGAUUUGUCCAGAGCAAGCGGAAGCCUACCUUCAAAGAUUUAUCUUCUGAGUCAUUGGAAACGAAGCUACUCCUUAGAGAAUGGAAAAGGCUUGAGUUUCGAGAUGGAGUACUGUUCCGUAGAUGUCUGGAUAGAGGCACUGAAGUCCAUCAACUGGUUCUACCCACUAAACAUCGGGCCAGAGCACUGCAUGGUCUCCACGAUGAACUUGGCCACCUUGGCGCUGAGCGUCUUCUCCACCUUGCCCGUGCUAGGUUUUACUGGCCGAAGAUGUUCCAGUCUGUUGAGCUGAAGUGCCAGACGUGUGAGAGGUGUGUGAGACGGAAGGCGCAUGCCCAGAAUGCUGCUCCCAUGGAAAGCAUCCGAACUAGUCACCCCCUGGAACUUGUAUGCAUGGAUUUCCUUAGUAUUGAACCUGACAACAGAGACAUCAGAAACAUCCUUGUCAUCACAGAUCACUUUACAAAGUAUGCCAUUGCAGUUCCAACAAAAGAUCAGAAAGCCAACACAGUUGCGAAAGCGUUAUGGGACAACUUCAUUGUGAAUUAUGGAUUUCCAAGUCGUUUACUCAGUGACCAGGGAAGGGACUUUGAAUCCCGCACCAUAAAAGAACUAUGCUCGCUCAUUGGCACAGAGAAAGUGAGAACGACGCCAUAUCAUCCACGCGGCAACCCCGUCGAAAGAUUCAACAGAACGCUCCUAAGCAUGCUUGGUACUCUGGAAGAAAAAGACAAAUAUCACUGGAGGGACUUUGUCAAGCCGUUAGUCCAUGCAUACAAUUGCACCAGGAACGACACCACUGGAUACUCACCAUAUGAGCUGAUGUUUGGCAGGCAGCCGAGACUCCCCAUUGAUCUUCUCCUUGGUCUUCAGCCAAACCAAGAUGGGUUCAAGUCGCACUCAGACUAUGUGAAGGGCCUUCGUCAACGCCUGCAAGACAGUUAUGCCCUCGCUUCGGAGAGCUCAAGGAAGAUGGGCGAAAAGAACAAGGCAAGAUUUGACAGCAAAGUCAGAGCAGCAGAACUCGUUGCUGGAGACAGAGUCCUUGUGAGGAACGUGAACCUUCGAGGAAAACACAAGCUCGCAGACAGGUGGGAGAGAGAAGUCCAUGUUGUGGUGAAGAGAAUAGGUGAUGGUCCGGUCUAUGUCAUCAGACAGGAAAGGGGUGACACUCCGCACCGCACCCUCCACAGAGAUCUCCUCCUGCCCUGUGGGUUCCUGCCUGUUGAUGAGACUGGACCUGAACCUGAAGUCAAUCUGCCGACAAGAAGGUUAAGAUCCGGGAUAAAGACAACUCAGCAGAACAGAAAUGAUGAAUCCGUUGGUGGCAGCAGUGAUGAACUCAGCAGUGAUGAAGAAGAAUGCUACCCAUCACAACUCCCUCAGAUCUCCACAAGGUCCUUCAUCAAAAUGGAAGGUGCCAGAGAAACAACACAGAACAUCCCAGAACAGUAUCCUCCAGAACCCUCCACCUCAGCUGGACUGAACCCGUGUCCAACCAAGGUCCAUCAGUUCAAAAGCCCACUCAGCAAUGUAUUGCCCUUCACUGAUCCUGUCAUACACUCACCUGCAAGCGAACCUGUUAAUGGGCCAUCUCCACACACCAAUGCCGUGCCACAGACUAGACCUUUUCAGAGAAACUCAGUUGAUGAAGAAGAGACAGAGACUGUGCUACCCAUGGAUGCGAUACCCCAUGUUGAACCUGUUGACCUGCCAGAGAGAGAAGCCGCUGAAGUUCGAAGAUCCACCAGAGAAAGACGUCCACCUGAAAGACUGUGUUACGGAGAACUGGGAAGACCCUUGGUGCUAGCUCUUGCCUCCUUCUUCGAAAGUCUAAGCAGAACUGUCUAAGUCCUCUAGAAGGCGCACUAAAUAGUCUUAACACGCAUGCAGAGACUCGUGCGGUUUAGAGGGGGAGAAUGUAACCCAUGUCAUUUUCAGACGCUCCCUUAAUUCUUUUAUUGUGCUAAGAAUUUCCUGAUAGUCCCUAGAGCGUGCCAUAGAAUGUUUUGAAUCAAACCAGAUGCGGAAAACCAACUACGCUCAAUCAGACACGAUAGACCAACGAAUGACUAAGAAGAAGUAGAAGUAGAAAAACAGAAAAGAAAGAAGAAAGUAGAACAAAUAGAAAGAAAAUAGAUUCCCCCCAUUUGAUCCUCAUCUUCAACGCCUUCCUUUUUUAUCGACUUCCUUCCCUUCGAUUUAUGUCCUGCAAUCAAGUCCCGAGAUCGUCGUGAGCUUGAUUUUCCUACCCGAUAUCCUGGUGAGCAAAUUAUUAACUUUGUAACUUAUACUAAUAUGUUAAGCUAAGCUAGGUUAUUGUAAACAGGUCCUGGUGAGCCUUAUAAGCUUCCUACAUGGUAAAUUGGCAUGACAUAGUCUUAAAACCAGUCAGGAUACUCUGAAUGGACUUCGACCUUAUGGUUUAGUAGGUUUUUGUGUAUUUUAGGAAUUUUGAGUGUCUUAUAUUUUCAUCAGUAUGGGUCAGUGACAGUUACGUUGCUGGACAGUUAGCUCUCUGGCUAGCAUGGUUUCUAAGCAACAAUGUCGGUCUAGCAAGACAGCAAUCUCCGGUAGCUGACUUUACGGAGAUGUGCUGUAAGAAUGAAUUUAUUUGUUGUUUUGUAUGUUGCCGUAAUGACAACAAUAACAUGGAUAAGGAAAGGUUACUGUAGUGAUUAAAUGAAAUGGAAUUUAAUAGUAAUUGAAUAGUCUGUAUAAUUCUGUGCAGACUGGUUUUUUCGUACCCCUGGAAACGUCCCCCGAAUCACCUUCAUCUUUACCUGGAACCCCUGGAGCCCUGAUCUGCACUCCCCACCUUAUCAUCAUUUUCCCCUUGCACACCCCCCUGUCUUCCUCUGAUUGAACUGUCCCCCAUCAACGUCCACUGUCCCUGCUACUGUGGUGUGAAAGGCAGGUGCUCGAAAUCUCCGAGUCAGAGUCUGUCUCUCUCUCUCUCUCUCUGUCUCUCUCCCCUUCUCUAAGAGCUCUC
Molecule: RNA transcript, 7359 nt
Organism: Neoarius graeffei (lesser salmon catfish)
Lineage: Eukaryota; Metazoa; Chordata; Actinopteri; Siluriformes; Ariidae
Gene: abat
Gene name: 4-aminobutyrate aminotransferase
Exons: 3
Source: RefSeq, a predicted model, not a curated record